Ceratobasidium sp. AG-I is the source of this 100-nucleotide non-coding RNA. The record is from the annotation of a GenBank genome assembly. NCBI's taxonomy places the organism in Eukaryota, Fungi, Basidiomycota, Agaricomycetes, Cantharellales, Ceratobasidiaceae.
GCCUCAGUGGUCUAGUAGUAUGAUUCGCCCUUCGGGUUGUUCCCCGCUUCUUACGUAAGCAAACUGGGUGAGGUCCCCGGUUCAAUUCCGGGCUGGGGCC